GUAAGACAAAAAUAUCGUUUUGUUAUUGUUUUGAUCAUAGACUCGCGCGCCAAAUAGCUCAACUCCAUCAGAAGAAAAUGACCCACUUUUUUGAUAUUUCUCAGCAAACAGACAAUUUUACGUUUGAAUGGAAUGAGUCUUAUGGUGAGUGCGAGGAUUGUAACAGAAUAACUGCCGAAUGGCAGCUGAAUCAGUGUCAAUUCGGGUUCUGUGGCCGGUUUUUCUGUAGCGAUUGUGGCUAUCGCUGAGAAAGAUGCAAGGACUCAAACCCCCGCUCUGUGCAGCUUUGUGAUUCACACGCCAGGAUUGCGUAUCCUCGAUGUACAAGAUGUGAGAGCCGAUUCUGUGACGAUUGUACCAACGUUGUGGUGAAAAAGUGUCUGUCCUGCCUUGACAACAUUUGCUCCCUUUGCAUUAACAAAGAGGAACAGCACUUUUCCAACACUUGUGGAAACUGCAGUAACAAGACAAUGAGACCUUUGCAGGACAUGUGUCGCACAUCAAUCAGGAGGGCAAUAAGGGCGUCGCUUGCUACACCACAAGAGGAGCUUCACCCAAAACAAAUAGACAUGAACAUCAAACACCUUCCCAUACCUUCAGUAGUGAAAAGCUUUAUGCGAUUUGAAUGACAUAAUUCAAACAAUUAUUUAAAUGUAAAGAUAUUUAUUUCAAUUUAGAACAUAUUAUGUUGAUGUUAUGUUGUACAAAAUUAAAAAUCUAGUGAAAUAUAUUUAUUUCUAUAAACUCCUCUAAUAUAAAGUAUAAGAUAAGGAUCUGUAAUCCCUCAUAAAAUCUAUUACAUACAAUCAGGAUCAUACUCAUGGGCAGAUCUAGGGGUGGUCCGAGGGGGCUUCUAUCCCCCUUAUUUUCAGAUAUUUGCUCUAAUACCAUCUAUUAAUUAUAGAAAUCAUUGUAGAUGUAGUUUUUAAUGGUUACUAAGAACAGUCUCAACUCAAACUGUGAGGGCACUUGCUCUAUGUGUCAUAGGCUACUCAAAUGGUGAAGACAGUGCUCCAUGUGUUCAUGUGUCAGGUUAGCUCUCGUGAUGAUUCCAACAAGCUGCAACAAGUAAGAAAAGGUUCAAAUUGACAUGUUUUGACAGGUUUUCUUAGCUGUCCCUUAAUUAUUCACCCAAUAAAAAGACUACAUAGAA
Molecule: RNA transcript, 1153 nt
Organism: Nematostella vectensis (starlet sea anemone)
Lineage: Eukaryota; Metazoa; Cnidaria; Anthozoa; Actiniaria; Edwardsiidae
Exons: 2
Source: RefSeq, a predicted model, not a curated record